RNAcentral lists this unclassified non-coding RNA (325 nucleotides) under uncultured fungus. RNAcentral's name for it is "partial contains 5.8S ribosomal RNA and internal transcribed spacer 2". The stretch from base 1 to 133 matches the Rfam family "5.8S ribosomal RNA", at positions 22 to 154 of the family's 154-position model. Lineage: Eukaryota; Fungi. The record is from RNAcentral.
UGGUUCUGGCAUCGAUGAAGAACGCAGCGAAAUGCGAUAAGUAAUGUGAAUUGCAGAAUUCAGUGAAUCAUCGAAUCUUUGAACGCACAUUGCGCCCAUUAGUAUUCUAGUGGGCAUGCCUGUUCGAGCGUCAUUUCAACCCCUAAGCACAGCUUACUGUUGGGACUCUACGGCCCCCGUAGUUCCCCAAAGCCAUUGGCGGAGUGGCAGUAGUCCUCUGAGCGUAGUAAUUCUUUAUCUCGCUUUUGUUAGGCGCUGCCCCCCCGGCCGUUAAACCCCCCAAUUUUUUCUGGUUGACCUCGGAUCAGGUAGGAAUACCCGCUGA